GACGUAGGGUGCCAGCGUUGUUCGGAAUUACUGGGCGUAAAGGGUUCGUAGGCGGUGCGGCAAGUUGGGAGUGAAAUCUCUGGGCUUAACCCAGAGGCUGCUUCCAAAACUGCUGUGCUUGAGUGUGGGAGAGGCGCGUGGAAUUGCAGGUGUAGCGGUGAAAUGCGUAGAUAUCUGCAGGAACACCCGUGGCGAAAGCGGCGCGCUGGACCACUACUGACGCUGAGGAGCGAAAGCGUGGGGAGCGAACAGG
Molecule: ribosomal RNA, 253 nt
Filed under: uncultured bacterium
Lineage: Bacteria
Description: partial 16S ribosomal RNA
Rfam family: Bacterial small subunit ribosomal RNA
Source: RNAcentral